UCUACAUUUUGUGAAUUGUUUAUCGUCUCUGGCGAGUUUAAGUUCGCCUAGUAUACUUUGUAUAAAAUUAUUGUCUAUAAAAGCUUUUUAUUUAAUAAAAAACAACUUUUAACAACGGAUCUCUAGGCUCUCGCAACGAUGAAGAACGCAGCGAAAUGCGAUAAGUAAUGUGAAUUGCAGAAUUCCGUGAAUCAUUAAAUCUUUGAACGCACAUUGCGCCCUCUGGUAUUCCUAAGGGCAUGCCUGUUCGAGAAUCAGUUUAACCAUCAAGUCUAUUGGGUAAAAUCAAUGGCACUUGGAUUUGAGGCCUCUGGAGUUAUCCAGAGUCUCUAAUAACAUUUGUUGCCUAGCUCGAAUGAGACUAUGUGAAAGGUAUGACCAUUGAACGAAAGUUCUUCGAUUGCUCCGAUCAUACGUUGAGUUUGUUUUAGUGCACAUUAAAUUUCACGAGGAGUAAAAUCCUUAAGACUUGAUCUCGAAUCAGACAAGACUACCCGCUGAACUUAAGCAUAUCAAUAAGCGGAGGAAAAGAAACUAACAAGGAUUCCCCUAGUAACGGCGAGUGAAGCGGGAGCAGCUCAAAUUUGAAAUCUCACGAGUUCCUCGUGCGAAUUGUAGUUUAAAGAAGUAUUUACGGAGCAAGCCCAGGCAUAAGUCCUUUGGAACAGGGCAUCAUAGAGGGUGAGAAUCCCGUAUAUGGUCUGGUGCUUGUUCUAUGUGUUAUACUUUCAAAGAGUCGGGUUGUUUGGGAAUGCAGCCCAAAAUGGGGGGUAGAUACCCUCUAAAGCUAAAUAUUGGCGAGAGACCGAUAGCGAACAAGUACCGUGAGGGAAAGAUGAAAAGGACUUUGAAAAGAGAGUUAAAUAGUACGUGAAAUUGUUAAAAGGGAAACACUUGAAACCAGUCUUGUCGGUAGAAUCCCAACUAGUCUAACGAUUAGCAUAUGUUUCUGCCGACAGGUCAACAUCGGUUUUGACUGGAGUACAAAGCUGGAGGAAGGUGAUCUUCGGAUGUUAUAGCCUCCAGUAAUGCUCUGGUUGAGACCGAGGACUGCAGCUCAGUCUUGGGGACCCGUUCGCCAGUUGAAUGCCUGCUUGGACAACUUUUUGAUCAAGCGGGAGCUAAGAUUGCUCGGGCGGUACACCACACCUGUG
This 1154-nucleotide ribosomal RNA is filed under the name uncultured fungus. Its description in RNAcentral is "eukaryotic LSU rRNA". The stretch from base 471 to 1154 matches the Rfam family "Eukaryotic large subunit ribosomal RNA", at positions 1 to 611 of the family's 3401-position model. Lineage: Eukaryota; Fungi. The record is from RNAcentral.